Molecule: ribosomal RNA, 440 nt
Filed under: uncultured bacterium
Lineage: Bacteria
Description: partial 16S ribosomal RNA
Rfam family: Bacterial small subunit ribosomal RNA
Source: RNAcentral
CCUACGGGUGGCAGCAGUGGGGAAUAUUGCACAAUGGGGGAAACCCUGAUGCAGCGACGCCGCGUGAGUGAAGAAGUAUCUCGGUACGUAAAGCUCUAUCAGCAGGGACGAAAAUGACGGUACCUGACUAAGACGCCACGGCUAACUACGUGCCAGCAGCCGCGGUAAUACGUAGGGGGCAAGCUGUAUCCGGAUUUACAGGGUGGAAAGGGAGCGUAGACGGCAGCACAAGUCUGGAGUGAAAUCCCGGGGCGUAACCCCGGAACUGCUUUGGAAACUGUGCGGCUGGAGUGCAGGAGGGGUAAGCGGAAUUCGUAGUGUAGCGGUGAAAUGCGUAGAUAUUAGGAGGAACACCGGUGGCGAAGGCGGCUUACUGGACUGUAACUGACGUUGAGGCUCGAAAGCGUGGGGAGCAAACAGGAUUAGAUACCCUAGUAGUC